This 483-nucleotide ribosomal RNA is filed under the name uncultured bacterium. Its description in RNAcentral is "bacterial SSU rRNA". It matches the Rfam family "Bacterial small subunit ribosomal RNA", at positions 15 to 518 of the family's 1533-position model. The record is from RNAcentral.
GAUCAUGGCUCAGGACGAACGCUGGCGGCGUGCUUCAUACAUGCAAGUCGAACGAGAAGCUGACUUCGGUCAGUGGAAAGUGGCGGACGGGUGAGUAAUAUGUAGAGAAUCUGCCCUUGAGUGGGGGACAACAGAGGGAAACUUCUGCUAAUACCCCAUAUGAGCUAACUUGAAAUAGUUAUCUUGAAAACUCCGGUGCUCAAGGAUGAGUCUGCAUCUGAUUAGCUAGUUGGCGGUGUAAUGGACCACCAAGGCGACGAUCAGUAGCUGGUUUGAGAGGAUGAUCAGCCACAAUGGGACUGAGACACGGCCCAUACUCCUACGGGAGGCAGCAGUAGGGAAUUUUGCGCAAUGGGCGAAAGCCCUGACGCAGCAACGCCGCGUGAACGAUUAAGCCCUUCGGGGUGUAAAGUUCUGUCAGUAGGGACGAAUUUUGACGGUACCUACAGAGGAAGCACCGGCUAACUCCGUGCCAGCCGCUGC